GUUGAGCGGAGAUAUAUGGAGCUUGCUUUAUAUAACUUAGCAGCGAACGGGUGAGUAACACGUAGAUAAUCUAUCCUAUACUGGGGGAUAGCCCGAUGAAAGUUGGAUUAAUACCGCAUAUAGCUAUAUAGUUGCAUGAUUAUGUAGUGAAAGAUUUAUUGGUAUAGGAGGAGUCUGCGGCACAUUAGCUAGUAGGUGAGGUAAAGGCUUACCUAGGCGACGAUGUGUAGCCGGUCUGAGAGGAUGAACGGCCACAAUGGAACUGAGACACGGUCCAUACUCCUACGGGAGGCAGCAGUGGGGAAUAUUGCACAAUGGGGGAAACCCUGAUGCAGCAACGCCGCGUGAGUGAAGAAGGUAUUCGGAUUGUAAAGCUCUGUUAGCAGGGAAGAGGAAGGACGGUACUUGCAGAGGAAGCCACGGCUAACUACGUGCCAGCAGCCGCGGUAAUACGUAGGUGGCAAGCGUUGUUCGGAAUAACUGGGCGUAAAGGAUGCGUAGGCGGUUAAACAAGUUAUAUGUUAAAUAUAUAGGCUUAACCUGUAGAAAGCAUAUAAAACUGUUUAACUAGAGUGCAGGAGAGGUAAGUGGAAUUCCUAGUGUAGCGGUGAAAUGCGUAGAGAUUAGGAAGAACACCAGUGGCGAAGGCGACUUACUGGACUGUAACUGACGCUGAGGCAUGAGAGCAUGGGGAGCAAACAGGAUUAGAUACCCUGGUAGUCCAU
This 725-nucleotide ribosomal RNA is filed under the name uncultured bacterium. RNAcentral's name for it is "bacterial SSU rRNA". It matches the Rfam family "Bacterial small subunit ribosomal RNA", at positions 61 to 798 of the family's 1533-position model. The record is from RNAcentral.